GAGGCAGAGGAUUCAGGUGACAGUGAUGCUGAACUGGACAGUGAUGGACUCAAAGGAGAGCGGGAGUUGGGAGACAAUAUGAUGGAGAAAAGAGCUGACAUGGAUUCUGAAGUGGUCCUGACACAGUCCAUGGUAGUGAAGAAGGAUGCCUUGUCCAAAAGAUACUACAGAAGUAAGUGU
Molecule: long non-coding RNA, 180 nt
Organism: Acipenser ruthenus (sterlet)
Lineage: Eukaryota; Metazoa; Chordata; Actinopteri; Acipenseriformes; Acipenseridae
Exons: 3
Source: RefSeq, a predicted model, not a curated record